CGGAGCAAGUUCCGUUCAUGGCGCUCGACUGCACGUGGGCGGCAGGCCUAACACAUGCAAGUCGAGCGGAUGAAGGGGAGCUUGCUCCUGGAUUCAGCGGCGGACGGGUGAGUAAUGCCUAGGAAUCUGCCUGGUAGUGGGGGAUAACGUCCGGAAACGGGCGCUAAUACCGCAUACGUCCUGAGGGAGAAAGUGGGGGAUCUUCGGACCUCACGCUAUCAGAUGAGCCUAGGUCGGAUUAGCUAGUUGGUGGGGUAAAGGCCUACCAAGGCGACGAUCCGUAACUGGUCUGAGAGGAUGAUCAGUCACACUGGAACUGAGACACGGUCCAGACUCCUACGGGAGGCAGCAGUGGGGAAUAUUGGACAAUGGGCGAAAGCCUGAUCCAGCCAUGCCGCGUGUGUGAAGAAGGUCUUCGGAUUGUAAAGCACUUUAAGUUGGGAGGAAGGGCAGUAAGUUAAUACCUUGCUGUUUUGACGUUACCAACAGAAUAAGCACCGGCUAACUUCGUGCCAGCAGCCGCGGUAAUACGAAGGGUGCAAGCGUUAAUCGGAAUUACUGGGCGUAAAGCGCGCGUAGGUGGUUCAGCAAGUUGGAUGUGAAAUCCCCGGGCUCAACCUGGGAACUGCAUCCAAAACUACUGAGCUAGAGUACGGUAGAGGGUGGUGGAAUUUCCUGUGUAGCGGUGAAAUGCGUAGAUAUAGGAAGGAACACCAGUGGCGAAGGCGACCACCUGGACUGAUACUGACACUGAGGUGCGAAAGCGUGGGGAGCAAACAGGAUUAGAUACCCUGGUAGUCCACGCCGUAAACGAUGUCGACUAGCCGUUGGGAUCCUUGAGAUCUUAGUGGCGCAGCUAACGCGAUAAGUCGACCCGCUCUGGGGAGGG
This 889-nucleotide ribosomal RNA is filed under the name Pseudomonas aeruginosa. Its description in RNAcentral is "bacterial SSU rRNA". It matches the Rfam family "Bacterial small subunit ribosomal RNA", at positions 9 to 873 of the family's 1533-position model. Lineage: Bacteria; Pseudomonadati; Pseudomonadota; Gammaproteobacteria; Pseudomonadales; Pseudomonadaceae. The record is from RNAcentral.